GUGUCCGUUCAGGAGAGUUUGGAGAGGAAGUUUGGAAAGCAGGGAGGGCCGAUCCCUGUUGUUCCCACCGCUGACUUCCAGGCCAGAGUCGCUGUGCUUCUGAGAAGGACAUUGUUCACUCUGGGCUGGCCUACACCAUGGAGAGAUCUGCCAGCGUAAGAGUGUGAGCGUGCUUACACGUGUGUGUCAGCGUGCGUGUGUCCGUACGUGUGUCUGCGUGCGUUUGUGAGAUUACCUGUUUUGAACAAUGGAUGCCAACAAUGGACAGAGAGCAAGAGGAGUAGGAGGGAGAGGAAGAGGAAGAAGAGGACGAGGGCAAAGAAGAGAAGGAAGGAGAGCCAUCUCUGAUGAGAUUAGGGCAACACUUGUUGAUCAUGUGAUCAACCACGGUUUGACCAUGAGAGAGGCUGGACUGAGAGUCCAGCCCAACUUGAGUCGAUUUACAGUGGCGUCCAUAAAUCGAACCUUCAGAAAUGAGAACAGAGUGGAAAGGCAAAGACAUCAUGGAGGACGAGGACGUUUGUUUACAGAUGUACAAGAGACUGCAAUUAUAAAUAUGGUUUUGGCCAACAAUGCAAUUAGGAUUCGAGAGAUAAGAGAGCAUAUCUUGAAUAAUGACACCAUAUUUAACAACAUCAAUGCUGUAAGCCUGUCGACCAUACAACGCAUCCUCCAACGGCACCGAGUGACGAUGAAACAACUUUACAAGGUGCCAUUUGAGAGAAACUCUGACAGUCAAGAAUAUGCGACAUGACUUUGUAGAGGUAUGUAUGCAACACUACUUCCAGUACUUCAGACAUACCAUAUUUACUCAUCUGUAUAUCCUUUUGUCUGUUACAGAGAGUAUUGGAGCUGGAUGCCCAUGUAAUUCGCCAUGAAUUUAUUUAUGUGGAUGAGGUUGGCUUCAACCUCACCAAAACCAGGCGCCGCGGAAGAAAUGUAAUAGGACAGAGGGCAAUUACCACUGUCCCUGGACAGCAUGGGGGUAAUAUAACUAUGUGUGCUGCCAUCACUCAAAACGGGGUCCUCCAUCACAAUGCCACACUGGGUCCGUACUACACCGGCCAUAUGCUCACUUUUCUGGAUGCAAUUUACACAAUGCUUGUCCCUGAUCCAGAUCAGGAGCCUGCUAGAUUUGUGGUUUUAUGGGACAAUGUUAGUUUUCACCGGGCUGUUCUGGUCCAAAACUGGUUUGCCACCCAUCCACAAUUUGUAGUUUUGUACCUACCCCCAUAUUCACCUUUUCUAAAUCCCAAACAUUCUAAAUCGAUGUUUGACAAGAGAAAACGUAUCUUGUGAUGUGGACGAAGUAUUGUGGCCAGACCCAGGCCGGAGAAGAGAUGAAGCGUAGCUUGGCACUGGUGACCCCCCCCCCCCCCUACCAAUUCCUGGACUGCACCCCCGGGACCCCACACACACAAUUGUGUUCUUUACUGUAUUCUAAAGAUAAUACUUUUGGUUUACAUAUGUUUAUGGUUUUGUUGUAUGCUACUGUAUACAACAGUAAUGUUUGGCCUAAUAAUCUUUUUUGUUUCUACAUUGCAUUGGUGUUUACAGUGUACUUGUUACCCCUCUCAGCAGAUUACUUUCACUGUAGAACAUUGUAUUGAAAUGUAGAUAUAAGCCUCUGAAAGACCAAAGAGCUUAAGAUUUAGAACAACAGUGUUUACAUGGUAUAUCCAAAAAUGUACUAUUAUGAAAGCAGUGUUUGCCAUUUGAUGCAAAUGUUUAAUUCUGACAUGUGUUUAUGGCAUUUUGAAUGCAGUGUUGCAUUUUGAAGGAGAUGUGAGGCAUUUUGCAUUUUGUGUGUGCAGUGUUGGGAAUUGUGGGUAGAGUUUUGAAAAAAGGAGACAGUUUUGAAAACGCGUGUAAGCAGUUGGAAAAAAAACUGUAAGACACUUCAUGUUGGUGUUUCCUUCAUUUUGGCAGUUACCUGUAUGUCUGGAUCACAUGUUGGUCCUAUGAUGGAAAUAGUUCUUCUGCAGGGUAGCACUGACCUGACAGAGAAAGAGUCAUAUGUCUAGAGAGACAAUACCCCUCUCUCUCCUUUAGACAUCAUUCACUCUCACCCUAUAAACACAUCAUUGGGUAAGCCUCUGUAGGGGGUCUGUGUUUGUUUACUGUGUACUGACUCUGUUUGAGUUGGACUACUUCCAGUUGCCAUAGCUACUUAGUUGUAUCAGGCUCCUACUGCCAAACACCAGGGUUGUUUAACCCACCGGUGAGAGACAGUGAUGAUAAAGGGUUGGGUAGGGAUUAUUCAUCAUCAGUGAUGAGUGUUUCAUCCAACAGUCCCAGUUGUUUUUCCAGAGUGUUGUAUCUGCUCUGUGGGUGUUUCUGGGGAUUGAAAUUCAUCUCAUUGGUCGGUCUCUCUCAGGCCAUAACCAGCCGGAGCUCCGGGAGGGGAAACAAUGGUCCUACCCAGCAGAGGCUGAGGGGUAAUCUCAGAGCUAACAGCACUACCAGAGUAAAACUGUGUUUACAGCAGUAACAGGCACCUAAUCAUACCUAAAUAAUGUGGGGUGGUACAGAGAAGAACUGCUACCAACAGUCAGCCAAGAUGGCUGUUAGUGCCUGUCCUUCCUGCUGGAUCCAAACCCUGUAGAUGAGUUGCCCAGCUGGCACAAGUGUAUAAGGUUGGCUCUGUAUGCGCGCCCAGAGGUUGGCAUGGUGUGUGAACAUGAAUCUUAAGAGAGGAAGGGCCACCCUCCAUGAUAUAAUCGGCAGGGAGAUAACGUGUGUGUGUGUGUGUGUGUGUGUGUGUGUGUGUGUGUGUGUGUGUGUGUGUGUGUGUGUGUGUGUGUGUGUGUGUGUGUGUGUCUCAUGAUGCCAAACGUCCUGCACGGUGUUGGGGUGUAAGCACAACCCCCACCUGUGGACGUCGGGCCCUCAUACCACCCUCAUGGAGUCUGUUUCUGACCGUUUGAGCAGACACAUGCACAUUUGUGGCCUGCUGGAGGUCAUUUUGUAGGGCUCUGGCAGUGCACCUCCUUGCACAAAGGCGGAGGUAGCGGUCCUGCUGCUGGGUUGUUGCCCUCCUACGGCCUCCUCCACGUCUCCUGAUGUACUGGCCUGUCUCCUGGUAGCGCCUCCAUGCUCUGGACACUACGCUGACAGACACAGCAAACCUUUUUGCCACAGCUCGCAAUGAUGUGCCAUCCUGGAUGAACUGCACUACCUGAGCCACUUGUGUGGGUUGUAGACUCCGUCUCAUGCUACCACUAGAGUGAGAGCACCGCCAGCAUUCAAAAGUGACCAAAACAUCAGCCAGGAAGCAUAGGAACUGAGAAGUGGUCUGUGGUCACCACCUGCAGAAUCACUCCUUUUUUGGGGGUGUCUUGCUAAUUGCCUAUAAUUUCCACCUUUUGUCUAUUCCAUUUGCACAACAGCAUGUGAAAUGUAUUGUCAAUCAGUGUUGCUUCCUAAGUGGACAGUUUGAUUUCACAGAAGUGUGACUGACUUGGAGUUACAUUGUGUUGUUUAAGUGUUCCCUUUAUUUUUUUGAGCAGUGUAUAUAAGGCCACACUUUAACAGCCGAGUUUUAAAGUAACACAGUGGUCUGAAACUCCUGGUUUGCAGGCCAUAUCAGGCAAGUCACAUUAUGUUGGCUUGCAAAAUAAUACAGUGUCUUCGAAAAGUAUUCAGACCCCUUGACUUUUUCCACAUUUUGUUAUGUUACAGCCUUAUUCAUCACAACAGAGAGAAAGGUUAUUGGCACCCCUGAAAUCAGUCACUUGAAAUAAAUUCCUUAGG
Salvelinus fontinalis (brook trout) is the source of this 3753-nucleotide long non-coding RNA. RefSeq lists it as uncharacterized. The record is from RefSeq and is a predicted model, not a curated record. NCBI's taxonomy places the organism in Eukaryota, Metazoa, Chordata, Actinopteri, Salmoniformes, Salmonidae. The transcript is spliced from 4 exons.